This 73-nucleotide transfer RNA is filed under the name bacterium. RNAcentral's name for it is "tRNA-Val". It matches the Rfam family "tRNA". Rfam says of the family: Transfer RNA (tRNA) molecules are approximately 80 nucleotides in length. The record is from RNAcentral.
GCGCCCUUAGCUCAAUCGGCAGAGCACCUCAUUUACACUGAGGGGGUUGCAGGUUCAAGUCCUGCAGGGCGCA